AUUGUAGUCAAAAAGUCCUACAGUAGCUCCCGAAGAGUCCAUCUGUACCUGGUUGCCAGGAUAAUCAAAUUGUAGAGAAUCAAGACCAACUUGUUCCAUGGCAUCUAGAUUCUGAUUUUCUGGAUUGGAAAAUUCUUCUACCAAGGGCUUGUGGGCUGUAGGAUUGGGAAGUGGGCCCAAUCCUUCUGUGGUGCUGGGAUUGGGACCCAAGCGUUCAGCUACUUCUGUUGGGGAGGCUUGUCGACUUCCAGGGGUACGAUUAAAAUCUUUGCAAUCGGCAUCCAUUCCAUUUGGCAAACCUCUGCCAUUUAUUUUAGUAACAUCCUCAUCAUCUCCUUGUUUAAGAUCUCUGUUUUUGUCCUCCUCAAAUGGAGAAGCCUUGCCUUUCUGAUCUCCUUUCUCAGGUCCAUCUGUUUCAGCAUCUCUAGUGCCAAAAGCUCCUUUCCUAAACCGGGAAUCCAAUUUAUCAGCUGGAGAGGAACUUAACACAUAUUCUACCAUGCUCACGCCAAGGCCACCACUUUCUGAUCGUGGAGACAAUACAGCAUUUACUUCACUGUUUCCAUGAAAACCCUGUCCAGGCUUUCUCUGUACCAUAAUAGGCUGGGACAUAGAAUGGUGAGGAGUUCCCCAUGCAGUCUCUCUCCACUCAUCACCAAGGAAUAUCCCUUUUUGUCCAUCUUUUGCUGAAUCAUCAGGUUCCCAAAACUUUUUGGCAGGUAAAAGCUCUCCCAUUCCCCGAGAUUCUAGGGCAAGAGCUUGAAACUCAUGAUUCAUCUCAUCCACAGAUCGAACGGGCUGGUUGGCGGCGCCGCUCGCCGAGACGGAGCCGGAGCGGGCCCUGGGACACCGCCGCCCGCCCGCCGCCCCCCGCCGCCUGCUCCUCUCGGCGCCUCUCCUUCCGGCCUCCCCUCCCCCCCCUCGGCCGCGAGGGGCUCACAACAACAUGGCGGGAGGGCGCGCGCGGAGGGAGAGGGAGAGCGAGAGCGCGGCAAAGCUCCCCCCGCCGCCACCACCGCCGCCGCCGCCGCUCGCCCCUGCCGCCGCCACAGCGCAUGCGCGCCCCGCGCCGGGAGGAGGCGGGGAGGCGGCCCCGGGCCCUUCCGUCGCGCAGCGCGCAUGCCCCUCCCGCCGGCGUCCGUCCUCCCCUCAGAGCGGCCCCUGCCGCCGGGCCCCGCGCCUUUGCUCGUGCCGCCGGGCUGUGCCGCCGUUGCUUCUCUCGGAAUGUUUUCAGCGUUAUCGGCUUCCCAAAGGGAAGGCCGCGGAGCGGGGCAGGGCGCGUUGUUAUACAAUAAACAGUAAACGCGUGGCCGGAGUUACUAAUUGGCUGAUGUGCCUGUACAUGAUGGCUGUGGAAGGAUUUAGUUCUUUCCUUCCCCGAGAGCGUGAAAUACGCGAUCUCAGAUAUAGCUGUCGAUAAAUAAAUCACUGGGUGUUAGUAAGCACUGCUAAGGCCACAGAAUGGCAGGGGUUGGAAGGGACCUCUGGGGCUCAUGGGCUCCAACCCUGGUGCUGCAGGUUCCCUCCAGCAGCUCUCUGUGGGGUUCAUCAGCCACGCUGAAUUCCAGCUCGAAUUCUUCUCAGCAGUAUUUCUCUCCUAGGACGUAGAGCCCAGCCUAUCAGUGUCUCUUCAAAACACAAAUUCCAUGAGGAGAUGUCAUGUCUGCCUCCUCAGCAGGUCCGCUAAGCCUGGCUGGCUGCAGGGCACUCGGGAAGCCAUCCUAGAUCACACCUUUGGGUGGGACCCCGUUAUCGGUCCCAGCAGGCAGCGUGGCACUGCUGUCCCAGCUCCUCCUGCACACACCAGGCCUGCCCGCCGCCCCAGGGCUCGGGUGGUGCCCAACGGGACAGCAGCACAUCGAUGGGGAGCAGGACUUUGUGGCGGCCUGCUGGGGAGCAGAGGCCUGGCCGCCAGCUGCCUCCUUAGAGGCAUCGUGAAGGAAAAACUCGCUGCUGGGGACGUAUAACUUCCCAUUUCCUGAUAAAUGUUUUCCUAAGAAAUGAAAAUGAUUUCUUCAGCUUAACGCUAAGCAGCCAGACGCCUGGCUAAUCCCUGUGAUCCCGCGUCCUGUCCCACUGCCACCUUUGUCUGCAGGGCUGCAGAGCCACUUCUCUGCUCGCUGCAGGAGAGGAAGCCUCCGAGUCGGCCUCUGAGUCACAGCCCAUGCUGCAAGCAGGGGCUGAAGGAAACCCUGCUAAUGUUCUUGCUGU
This 2211-nucleotide long non-coding RNA is filed under the name Gallus gallus (chicken). Lineage: Eukaryota; Metazoa; Chordata; Aves; Galliformes; Phasianidae. The record is from RNAcentral.